This 433-nucleotide ribosomal RNA is filed under the name uncultured bacterium. RNAcentral describes it as "partial 16S ribosomal RNA". It matches the Rfam family "Bacterial small subunit ribosomal RNA", at positions 29 to 507 of the family's 1533-position model. The record is from RNAcentral.
AACGAACGCUGGCGGCAUGCCUAACACAUGCAAGUCGAACGAGACCUUCGGGUCUAGUGGCGCACGGGUGCGUAACGCGUGGGAACCUGCCCUUAGGUUCGGAAGAACUCCCCGAAAGGGGUGCUAAUACCGGAUAAUUUCUUCGGACCAGAGAUUUAUCGCCUUUGGAUAGGCCCGCGUUGGAUUAGCUAGUUGGUAGGGUAAAAGCCUACCAAGGCGACGAUCCAUAGCUGGUCUGAGAGGAUGAUCAGCCACACUGGGACUGAGACACGGCCCAGACUCCUACGGGAGGCAGCAGUGGGGAAUAUUGGACAAUGGGCGAAAGCCUGAUCCAGCAAUGCCGCGUGAGUGAUGAAGGCCUUAGGGUUGUAAAGCUCUUUUACCCGGGAUGAUAAUGACAGUACCGGGAGAAUAAGCCCCGGCUAACUCCGUG